Molecule: long non-coding RNA, 580 nt
Organism: Electrophorus electricus (electric eel)
Lineage: Eukaryota; Metazoa; Chordata; Actinopteri; Gymnotiformes; Gymnotidae
Source: RefSeq, a predicted model, not a curated record
CCCACACUUACUUUAACAUCAUGCACACAAGACUGUUCUUUCUUUGUCUGACUGGAGCUUUGCUGAUGAUUUUGGUCUGUGGUGACACAAGUGUAUAUGAAAGCGAUAAAGACUCAACAGCUCUCUAUUAUGAUGACUCUACUGUGAUGCCAACUACUGAUUAUUUGGAUUAUACAUUUGAAUACGAAGUGAUAAGUCAUUUAAACAGUAUAGAUUAUAGUAUGUAUGAAGUUCUCAACCGAGAUGGAGGAAAGAAUUCUCAACAAAUGACAAAUGGUACAAAUAAGGCCUCAACAACAGUCUAUAGAUCCACUGCUAUACUAGUGGGGCUAAUGGUGCAGCAGUUCUGCCUACAAACAUAACCAGGAGUUCACACACAGACUGUACAAAGGUCAUUUGUUUCAAGGAUGCUGUAGGUCCAGACAAGAAGAAUGAUGAUUUCAGACAAUUCUGCAAUUAUGUUAAUGAAUUGUAAAAUAAAUGAUUGUAUGUUAAUCUUUCUAAUCUACACAAACUGCCAUUUUGUUAUAAACAUUGCGAGGCCUACAUGUGACAGUAAAAACUAAAAGUUGUAAUCUUA